RNAcentral lists this ribosomal RNA (159 nucleotides) under Shewanella algae. RNAcentral's name for it is "partial 23S ribosomal RNA". The stretch from base 1 to 141 matches the Rfam family "Bacterial large subunit ribosomal RNA", at positions 2790 to 2925 of the family's 2925-position model. Lineage: Bacteria; Pseudomonadati; Pseudomonadota; Gammaproteobacteria; Alteromonadales; Shewanellaceae. The record is from RNAcentral.
AAGCGAGCCCCAAGAUGAGUCAUCCCUAGGGCCUAGAGCCCUCUGAAGAGCCGUUCGAGACCAGGACGUUGAUAGGCAGGGUGUGUAAGCGUUGCGAGGCGUUGAGCUAACCUGUACUAAUGACUCGAGAGGCUUAACCAUACAACCCAGAUGGGUUUU